This 439-nucleotide ribosomal RNA is filed under the name uncultured bacterium. RNAcentral's name for it is "partial 16S ribosomal RNA". It matches the Rfam family "Bacterial small subunit ribosomal RNA", at positions 339 to 795 of the family's 1533-position model. The record is from RNAcentral.
CUACGGGGGGCUGCAGUGAGGAAUAUUGCACAAUGGGGGGAACCCUGAUGCAGCAACGCCGCGUGGAGGAUGACGCAUUUCGGUGUGUAAACUCCUUUUAUAUGUCAAGAAAAUGACGGUAGCAUAUGAAUAAGCACCGGCUAACUCCGUGCCAGCAGCCGCGGUAAUACGGAGGGUGCAAGCGUUACUCGGAAUCACUGGGCGUAAAGGACGCGUAGGCGGGUUGGAAAGUCAGGUGUGAAAUCCUACAGCUUAACUGUAGAACUGCACUUGAAACUUCUAAUCUAGAGUAUGGGAGGGGGAGAUGGAAUUAGUGGUGUAGGGGUAAAAUCCGUAGAUAUCACUAGGAAUACCUAAAGCGAAGGCGAUCUCCUGGAACAUUACUGACGCUGAGGCGCGAAAGCGUGGGGAGCAAACAGGAUUAGAUACCCCCGUAGUC